This 358-nucleotide transfer-messenger RNA is filed under the name Oscillospiraceae. Its description in RNAcentral is "Ruminococcus_D sp900752625 Standard tmRNA". It matches the Rfam family "transfer-messenger RNA". Rfam says of the family: Bacterial tmRNA, also known as 10Sa RNA or SsrA, is named for its dual tRNA and mRNA-like properties. Its role is to liberate the mRNA from a stalled ribosome. The record is from RNAcentral. Lineage: Bacteria; Bacillati; Bacillota; Clostridia; Eubacteriales. RNAcentral also lists the same sequence under 1 other name.
GGGGGCGUAAAGGUUUCGACGGGGAUCUUGAAGCACGAUAAGCGAGUAGAGGAGCGCACUCUCUUUAAACGGCGUACGUUUUAAAAUUAAACGACAACGAUAAUUUUGAAUUAGCAGCUGCUUAAUGCUGCUCGUCUUACCUUUGAGUACCACGGCUUAGGAUAAGGCGUCGAUCAGUGGUGAACGUCAUUGAGCGACGGCUGUAGCUCUUUGAUGUAUUGCAGUCUACCGAUAAUUUUCGCCUGCUUGUUUGCGGAUAUUAAAGGGAAACGGAGCAAUCCGGAAUAACAAGCUAUACUCGUAGAAAUUCGUGGGGAUAGGUUUUCGGACAGGAGUUCGAUUCUCCUCGCCUCCACCA